GCCCAGAUAGCUCAGCCGGUAGAGCACGCCCUUGGUAAGGGCGAGGUCACGAGUUCGAAUCUCGUUCUGGGCUCCA
This 76-nucleotide transfer RNA is filed under the name Dehalococcoidia bacterium. Its description in RNAcentral is "tRNA-Thr". It matches the Rfam family "tRNA". Rfam says of the family: Transfer RNA (tRNA) molecules are approximately 80 nucleotides in length. Their secondary structure includes four short double-helical elements and three loops (D, anti-codon, and T loops). The record is from RNAcentral. Lineage: Bacteria; Bacillati; Chloroflexota; Dehalococcoidia.